UGGGGAAUUUUGGACAAUGGGGGAAACCCUGAUCCAGCCAUCCCGCGUGUGUGAUGAAGGCCUUCGGGUUGUAAAGCACUUUUUGCAGGAAAGAAACGUCAUGGGCUAAUACCCCGUGAAACUGACGGUACCUGCAGAAUAAGCACCGGCUAACUACGUGCCAGCAGCCGCGGCAAUACGUAGGGUGCAAGCGUUAAUCGGAAUUACUGGGCGUAAAGCGUGCGCAGGCGGUUCGGAAAGGAAGAUGUGAAAUCCCAGAGCUCAACUGUGGAACUGCAUUUUUAACUGCCGGGCUAGAGUGUGUCAGAGGGAGGUGGAAUUCCGCGUGUAGCAGUGAAAUGCGUAGAUAUGCGGAGGAACACCGAUAGCGAGGGCAGCCUCCUGGGAUAACACUGACGCUCGUGCACGAAAGCGUGGGGAGCAAACAGG
RNAcentral lists this ribosomal RNA (429 nucleotides) under Acidobacteriota bacterium. RNAcentral describes it as "Acidobacteria bacterium partial 16S ribosomal RNA". It matches the Rfam family "Bacterial small subunit ribosomal RNA", at positions 355 to 776 of the family's 1533-position model. Lineage: Bacteria; Pseudomonadati; Acidobacteriota. The record is from RNAcentral.